RNAcentral lists this ribosomal RNA (253 nucleotides) under uncultured prokaryote. Its description in RNAcentral is "partial 16S ribosomal RNA". It matches the Rfam family "Bacterial small subunit ribosomal RNA", at positions 525 to 777 of the family's 1533-position model. The record is from RNAcentral.
ACGUAGGGUGCGAGCGUUGUCCGGAAUUAUUGGGCGUAAAGGGCUCGUAGGCGGUCUGUUACGUCGGGAGUGAAAACCCAGGGCUCAACCCUGGGCCUGCUUCCGAUACGGGCAGACUAGAGGUAUGCAGGGGAGAAUGGAAUUCCUGGUGUAGCGGUGAAAUACGCAGAUAUCAGGAGGAACACCGGUGGCGAAGGCGGUUCUCUGGGCAUUACCUGACGCUGAGGAGCGAAAGUGUGGGGAGCGAACAGGA